Molecule: long non-coding RNA, 139 nt
Organism: Sander lucioperca (pikeperch)
Lineage: Eukaryota; Metazoa; Chordata; Actinopteri; Perciformes; Percidae
Exons: 3
Source: RefSeq, a predicted model, not a curated record
UGGACAUUCUAUUUAAAACAUGACAUUGGCUCACAGCUUGGACUCAUUAGUGGAUCAAGCAGCUACUUGAAAUGCAUACAUUUUAUUUCUAUUUUUGUGGCUAUUACCACCUUUCCUCACAGGCCCUGUUUCCUUUUGU